GUGGGGAAUAUUGGACAAUGGGCGCAAGCCUGAUCCAGCAAUGCCGCGUGUGUGAAGAAGGUCUUCGGAUCGUAAAGCACUUUCGACGGGGACGAUGAUGACGGUACCCGUAGAAGAAGCCCCGGCUAACUUCGUGCCAGCAGCCGCGGUAAUACGAAGGGGGCUAGCGUUGCUCGGAAUUACUGGGCGUAAAGGGCGCGUAGGCGGCUCUGUGAGUCAGGCGUGAAAUUCCUGGGCUUAACCUGGGGACUGCGCUUGAUACUGCAGGGCUUGAGGCCGAGAGAGGGUGGUGGAAUUCCCAGUGUAGAGGUGAAAUUCGUAGAUAUUGGGAAGAACACCGGUGGCGAAGGCGACCACCUGGCUCGGUACUGACGCUGAGGCGCGACAGCGUGGGGAGCAAACAGGAUUAGAAACCCCUGUAGUCC
This 425-nucleotide ribosomal RNA is filed under the name uncultured bacterium. RNAcentral describes it as "partial 16S ribosomal RNA". It matches the Rfam family "Bacterial small subunit ribosomal RNA", at positions 354 to 796 of the family's 1533-position model. The record is from RNAcentral.